GAACGCUGGCGGCAGGCCUAACACAUGCAAGUCGAGCGGAUGAGUGGAGCUUGCUCCAUGAUUCAGCGGCGGACGGGUGAGUAAUGCCUAGGAAUCUGCCUAUUAGUGGGGGACAACGUUUCGAAAGGAACGCUAAUACCGCAUACGUCCUACGGGAGAAAGCAGGGGACCUUCGGGCCUUGCGCUAAUAGAUGAGCCUAGGUCGGAUUAGCUAGUUGGUGAGGUAAUGGCUCACCAAGGCGACGAUCCGUAACUGGUCUGAGAGGAUGAUCAGUCACACUGGAACUGAGACACGGUCCAGACUCCUACGGGAGGCAGCAGUGGGGAAUAUUGGACAAUGGGCGAAAGCCUGAUCCAGCCAUGCCGCGUGUGUGAAGAAGGUCUUCGGAUUGUAAAGCACUUUAAGUUGGGAGGAAGGGCAUUAACCUAAUACGUUAGUGUUUUGACGUUACCGACAGAAUAAGCACCGGCUA
RNAcentral lists this ribosomal RNA (473 nucleotides) under Pseudomonas sp. ADRIF7. Its description in RNAcentral is "bacterial SSU rRNA". It matches the Rfam family "Bacterial small subunit ribosomal RNA", at positions 31 to 499 of the family's 1533-position model. The record is from RNAcentral. Lineage: Bacteria; Pseudomonadati; Pseudomonadota; Gammaproteobacteria; Pseudomonadales; Pseudomonadaceae.